This 432-nucleotide ribosomal RNA is filed under the name uncultured bacterium. RNAcentral describes it as "bacterial SSU rRNA". It matches the Rfam family "Bacterial small subunit ribosomal RNA", at positions 352 to 782 of the family's 1533-position model. The record is from RNAcentral.
CAGUAGGGAAUAUUGGUCAAUGGAUGCAAGUCUGAACCAGCCAUGCCGCGUGCAGGAAGAAGGCCUUCUGGGUUGUAAACUGCUUUUGCCAGGGGAUAAAAUGAGCGUGCGCGCUUAAUUGAAGGUACCUGGUGAAUAAGCCACGGCUAACUACGUGCCAGCAGCCGCGGUAAUACGUAGGUGGCAAGCGUUGUCCGGAUUUAUUGGGUUUAAAGGGUGCGUAGGCGGCCCUGUAAGUCAGUGCUGAAAUAUCCCGGCUUAACCGGGAGGGUGGCAUUGAUACUGCAGGGCUUGAGUGAAGUCGAGGUAGGCGGAAUUGACGGUGUAGCGGUGAAAUGCUUAGAUAUCGUCAAGAACACCGAUAGUGAAGACAGCUUACUAGGCUUAUACUGACGCUGAGGCACGAAAGUGUGGGGAUCAAACAGGAUUAGA